Molecule: long non-coding RNA, 1547 nt
Filed under: Cyanistes caeruleus (blue tit)
Lineage: Eukaryota; Metazoa; Chordata; Aves; Passeriformes; Paridae
Description: lncRNA (ENSCCEG00000013085.1)
Source: RNAcentral
GAAGGAGGUAGGAACAGAGGGUAUCUGAGACUCAUCUCACAGAGUCAUGGAGUUAAAAUGGAUUGAUUCAAGUGGCUAAAAAUUUGCCUGAAGAUAUUUUUCCGUAUUUACUAUUAGGAACUAUUAAUUUCAACAGUUCGAGACAGGAGGCCAUGGAGAGUGUAGGAAUCAAAAAGAAUAAAUAUUUGAAAAAGCAACCAGUAAACAGACAGGGAUUUAGACUAAUGACCUAAACAGAAAAUAAUGUCAUGGGUUCAGAGCUGCACAGACUAAUCCUCUGGUGAUAAAUCUUAACUGCAAGGCUUUAUAAACUUUUCCUGACUUGUGGGUGAACUUCAGGAUAGAAACAAGAGGAGCUAGUUGCCCUUGGAAAUCUGCCGGUGAUGUAGAGGGAAAAAGGAAGCUGGAACAGGAGGAAAGACUGGCUAAGUGUCUGAAGGCUGCUGCCACCUGGUUUUUGAAUCAACAUAGGUCAUGUCAGAUGCAAAGAAGCAAAUCCAGCAUCGUUAGCCAGCAGCUGCUGCCCGCUCCAUGCAAGAGCCUCUGAACAGCAACAUCCCGAGGAGCUGAACACAUCCAAGCCCAAAAGGACCAGAAUUUGCCCUGUUAGGGCCAGGUGAGUUUAACCCAUUAAGGACAUUAUACUGUGUUUGGUAUCACUAAGAAGAGUCCUAUUGUGGAAUCUUGUUCCUUAUGCUAAGAAAAUGCGGCCGUUUAGAAGAACAGCCCAGUUAUUAAUAGAGUAGAAAUUUUCUUUGAGUACCCUGCAAGCUUAAGUCCCCAUCGGAAGCAACUCAUUCUUUUUAUAGCUUUUAAAUAGUACAAAUUUUCUGAACAAAGUUAUUGAUUCACAUUUUCUUUCAUUUUAUUGCUAGUGAUUUAGCUAAAUAGCAAGAUAAAGAGACUUGAGACAAACAACAAUACAACAACAAAAGAGUACAGAUCUGAAAGAGGGCUUGAUAUUCUAUUAACCAAUUAACAUUUUUAUUCUGGGGCCAAGAAGUACACAUUUGCCUUUAACAGAAUGACCAACCAAAUUGCUGUCAGUCAGCCAAUCUGAUAAAGGUCAACUACUGAAAACCCUGUCUGUCAGUACACAAAGUGAGUGACCUGGGCAGUCAGAAGUUCAUCUGUUGUUUUGAAAGAAAAGUACACUAUUUUCAUAGAUGCAUCUGUUCUGCAUCAAUUACAAAACCUUUAAUGAAGUUUCAUGGUGGAAAUAAUCCACAAUGAAAUUAUCAGCUUUCCUAAUUAUACUCCUUGUUCAUUGGGGCUUAUUUGGGUAUCUUGAGAACACAAACCUGGUUUAAAUUAAAUUAUAUAUUUUAAGUCCUUUAAAAUGUUGUUUGCUUUUACUUUAGUCAAACAACUCUUCCCAACAGUUCUGGCUGAGUAAAACUGGCAGGGGUAGAAAAGAGGAAUACGGCCACUAUUCCUAAGACAGACAAUUAUUUUGUGUAGAGAUUCACAUUUUAGAUUGUAGAACAAAACUUUAACUGUUGUUUACCUAUUUUCAAAUUAUCUAACUAUGGAAAGAUUUUAAGCAG